AAACCCUAAACUAUCUCAUUCUCUCUCACCCUCACUUACCGCCUCUUUCUUUUCUUUUUUUUUUUUUUUUUUGAGAUAACGCCUCCUUCUCUCUCUUUCUCAAGAUCUCUCAAGCUCUCAAGGUGAAAUGGAAGAUGGUCUGAAUUAGUGGGUUCGAUAACCAUUUUUCAAUGCCGGUUGCCGGCGAUUGGGGGCUUGCUUUGCACCUAGCUGUGCUUGCGUCGUCGAGGUUCGGAGUUUGCAAGUAGCUGUUCUUGGAUUAUCGGGGUUCACAGGUGGCUGAUUUUGUCGUAGAGGUUGGGCGUUUGAUGAGAUUAGGAGCUCGCCAAAAGAAAAAUUUUAUCACAUUUAUUUUGGGAUAAUCUUCUCAUUUUUUUUCUCAUUUUGAGAUUUAUUUAUCUCUGAUUGUAUAGUAAUGUUUCUUUUGAACUCUGCGUUUUCCCCUUUUUGUCUCUGCUGAUAGUAGUGUUUUUUGGUUUGUAUUGAUGUUUAGUUUUCGUUGGUGCUUUGUUGCUCUUUUGGAGGCAACAGUAAUAAAAAAAAAAUGUAUAAAGAAUGUGAUUAUAGUGUUUGUAUGGUGUUGUUAGUAUACUAAUAAUUUGAUUAUAGUGUUUGUAUGUUGUUAUGGAAGAAUUUGUCUAUCUCUGUGAUUAAUUGUAAAUUAAUUUAGGUUUUUAUUUUAAUAAAAUACAUUUUUGUCUAUCUCUAA
Long non-coding RNA from Cannabis sativa, 709 nucleotides. RefSeq lists it as uncharacterized. The transcript has 2 exons. The record is from RefSeq and is a predicted model, not a curated record. Lineage: Eukaryota; Viridiplantae; Streptophyta; Magnoliopsida; Rosales; Cannabaceae.